Molecule: ribosomal RNA, 552 nt
Filed under: Staphylococcus aureus
Lineage: Bacteria; Bacillati; Bacillota; Bacilli; Caryophanales; Staphylococcaceae
Description: partial 23S ribosomal RNA
Rfam family: Bacterial large subunit ribosomal RNA
Source: RNAcentral
GAGCACUGUUUGGACGAGGGGCCCCUCUCGGGUUACCGAAUUCAGACAAACUCCGAAUGCCAAUUAAUUUAACUUGGGAGUCAGAACAUGGGUGAUAAGGUCCGUGUUCGAAAGGGAAACAGCCCAGACCACCAGCUAAGGUCCCAAAAUAUAUGUUAAGUGGAAAAGGAUGUGGCGUUGCCCAGACAACUAGGAUGUUGGCUUAGAAGCAGCCAUCAUUUAAAGAGUGCGUAAUAGCUCACUAGUCGAGUGACACUGCGCCGAAAAUGUACCGGGGCUAAACAUAUUACCGAAGCUGUGGAUUGUCCUUUGGACAAUGGUAGGAGAGCGUUCUAAGGGCGUUGAAGCAUGAUCGUAAGGACAUGUGGAGCGCUUAGAAGUGAGAAUGCCGGUGUGAGUAGCGAAAGACGGGUGAGAAUCCCGUCCACCGAUUGACUAAGGUUUCCAGAGGAAGGCUCGUCCGCUCUGGGUUAGUCGGGUCCUAAGCUGAGGCCGACAGGCGUAGGCGAUGGAUAACAGGUUGAUAUUCCUGUACCACCUAUAAUCGUUUUA